AUUGAACGCCGGCGGAAUGCUUUACACAUGCAAGUCGAACGGCAGCACGGACUUCGGUCUGGUGGCGAGUGGCGAACGGGUGAGUAAUGUAUCGGAACGUGCCCAGUCGUGGGGGAUAACGUAGUGAAAAUUACGCUAAUACCGCAUACGAUCUAUGGAUGAAAGCGGGGGAUCGCAAGACCUCGCGCGAUUGGAGCGGCCGAUAUCAGAUUAGGUAGUUGGUGGGGUAAAGGCCCACCAAGCCAACGAUCUGUAGCUGGUCUGAGAGGACGACCAGCCACACUGGAACUGAGACACGGUCCAGACUCCUACGGGAGGCAGCAGUGGGGAAUUUUGGACAAUGGGCGAAAGCCUGAUCCGGCCAUUCCGCGUGCAGGAUGAAGGCCCUCGGGUUGUAAACUGCUUUUGUACAGAACGAAAAGGUUUCUACUAAUACUAGGAGCUCAUGACGGUACUGUAAGAAUAAGCACCGGCUAACUACGUGCCAGCAGCCGCAGUAA
RNAcentral lists this ribosomal RNA (500 nucleotides) under uncultured bacterium. RNAcentral's name for it is "partial 16S ribosomal RNA". It matches the Rfam family "Bacterial small subunit ribosomal RNA", at positions 30 to 523 of the family's 1533-position model. The record is from RNAcentral.